GGUGAAAGAGAAGCCAGUUUCACUUCAGAGGAAGAGCGUUGGAAAUGCCAGUUUUGUCAAUUUGCUUCAGAAUGCCCUACUAACACCAUUUCUGGAACAUCAAGCACUGUAAAGAGCAGUAGCCCUAAUAGUAGUCCAAGCUAGAGGCAAAUGAAAUGCUAACUUCAUUCUUUGACGUUUGAAUCAGCCUCCCCAACAAUUGUUGAGACCUUGAUAUGCAAGUUCCUGCAAGGAAGCUGCAUAUAUAUAUAUAUAUAUAUA
Molecule: unclassified non-coding RNA, 261 nt
Filed under: Hevea brasiliensis (rubber tree)
Lineage: Eukaryota; Viridiplantae; Streptophyta; Magnoliopsida; Malpighiales; Euphorbiaceae
Source: RNAcentral